Drosophila yakuba is the source of this 1045-nucleotide long non-coding RNA. RefSeq lists it as uncharacterized. Lineage: Eukaryota; Metazoa; Arthropoda; Insecta; Diptera; Drosophilidae. The record is from RefSeq and is a predicted model, not a curated record. The transcript has 2 exons.
GACGCAGCGCAAGUUUGUCGAUUCAUGUUGCCACGCCCACAAGCCGCCCAAAGCUGCCACGCCCAUUUUUCAUUUUUGUAUUAGUCUUGUAUAUUUUGUUUAUAUAGCGUUUUCUCUUGUUGCUAUUAUAUUAACACAACCACUCUAUAAUUUCAUUUCUUUUAUAUAAAUUGUUUUCACUUCCGUACAAGUUACAAAAAGUGUGAACUUAUAAAAUAGUGUACAAUUUUAUUUUACCAGCAACUAAAGUUAAAUCUUCCAUAAUUUUAAGUUACACUAGUCGGCAUAAGUAUUUUAACAAAAUAUACAUUGCAAAUUUAGUCAGUGAAGCUUUACUAAUUUUUAUUUUUUGUGGAAACAUGGUUAUUAUUCGGACUUUUUGGCAUGGAGCAGUAUCUGGCUGCAGGAUAAAGAAUAUCCCAAUUAGCCCUACACUCAUAGACAAAACUUUCUGCAUUUCACAAAAUCGCCGUAAAAAAAAUACAGCCCCAAAAUACAGCCCGCACAGACCAAGUGCGAAGACCGUCGUUCCGGUGAUGAGGGAACUUGCCAGCACUGCCACCAGACUCAGAUGGAACAGUUGGCUCAAAUGGGCUACAAAAACCGUAAUCGUAACAAACGCGCUCUGCUGAUAUCUCUGGGCAACGUUGCUUCCGCUGUAAGACUACUGGACCACUGGAAUCGGUUUUUGGAGGAAUGAACCCCAUUUGUACUACUUUUGUUUUGUUGUUUGGCCGAACGCCUGAGACGCCAACUUAUAUGCACAAUAAAAUUAUAUAUAUACAGCUGCGAAAAAUAAAAUAGCACCACCUGCCCAGUAAAAUUUUGAAUAGGUAUCCUACCUGCAAUUUAGGGUUUAAAAGGAGCAGAAAUACCUUUUUAGAAAGGUUAAACAAUUCACUUAUUAGGAAAUGAAAAGAACUACAAUUUUUCUAUUUAUCUUAACAAAUAAUCUAUCUUAUCUAUAUAAGGAACUUCAUUAGAAACGACUAAAUUAGGCGAAAAAUAAAAUAUAACCAAUAUAACCAAUGUUUGCGUAUUAAAA